AUUUUUUCAAAAAGUCCCAUUAAUUUAUUACUUAAUUGAAUUCAACAAAUCAUAUGCUAAUCUAUUCUUCAUAUUGUCUCGCAGUGCACCCAUAUGCAAUUGUGUAUAUGUUGAUUGCCAGAGAAACACAACGGCCAAGUUUCGUCAUCACCUUUAUCGUUUAUGUCCCGCCAUUUUUAAUUUUUGGGGUUCGUUUUUUUUAUUUCAUUUUGAGUGAGAUCGAGGGGAGCUAUUUCAAAUAACCUGAUAGUGCCUUAUUUAUGUCACUUCAGUCUCUUACCAUCAUCCUGCUUUUGUUAAAUAUCACGACGCUUUUCGUUUAAAAUACUUCAAAAAAUCAGCUGUCAUCCUCCUGCUCAAAGUGAAAGUAGAGAGUCAGCAGCAAUGAUUCG
Molecule: long non-coding RNA, 392 nt
Filed under: Mytilus galloprovincialis (Mediterranean mussel)
Lineage: Eukaryota; Metazoa; Mollusca; Bivalvia; Mytilida; Mytilidae
Source: RNAcentral